AACGAACGCUGGCGGCGUGCCUAACACAUGCAAGUCGUGCGAGAAAGUUCCUUCGGGAGCGAGUAAAGCGGCGCACGGGUGAGUAACACGUAGGUAACCUGCCCCCAGUCUGGAACAACUAGAGGAAACUCUAGCUAAUGCCGGAUGAGACCACGAUCCCUUCGGGGGUUGCGGCCAAAAGAUGGCCUCUACUUGUAAGCUAUCGCUGAGGGAUGGGCCUGCGGGCCAUUAGCUUGUUGGUGAGGUAACGGCUCACCAAGGCUGUGAUGGCUAGCUGGUCUGAGAGGAUGACCAGCCACACUGGGACUGAAGACACGGCCCAGACUCCGACGGAGGCAGGCAGUGGGAAUAUUGCG
RNAcentral lists this ribosomal RNA (356 nucleotides) under uncultured bacterium. RNAcentral's name for it is "bacterial SSU rRNA". It matches the Rfam family "Bacterial small subunit ribosomal RNA", at positions 29 to 368 of the family's 1533-position model. The record is from RNAcentral.